UACGUAGGGCGCAAGCGUUGUCCGGAAUUAUUGGGCGUAAAGAGCUCGUAGGCGGCUUGUCACGUCGGGUGUGAAAGCCCGGGGCUUAACCCCGGGUCUGCAUUCGAUACGGGCUGGCUAGAGUGUGGUAGGGGAGAUCGGAAUUCCUGGUGUAGCGGUGAAAUGCGCAGAUAUCAGGAGGAACACCGGUGGCGAAGGCGGUUGCCUGGAGCUUUGCUGACGCUGAUGCGCGAAAGCGUGGGGAGCGAUCCGG
Molecule: ribosomal RNA, 253 nt
Filed under: uncultured bacterium
Lineage: Bacteria
Description: partial 16S ribosomal RNA
Rfam family: Bacterial small subunit ribosomal RNA
Source: RNAcentral